This 1473-nucleotide ribosomal RNA is filed under the name Vibrio parahaemolyticus. RNAcentral describes it as "bacterial LSU rRNA". It matches the Rfam family "Bacterial large subunit ribosomal RNA", at positions 1 to 1527 of the family's 2925-position model. The record is from RNAcentral. Lineage: Bacteria; Pseudomonadati; Pseudomonadota; Gammaproteobacteria; Vibrionales; Vibrionaceae.
GUUGUAUGGUUAAGUGACUAAGCGUACACGGUGGAUGCCUUGGCAGUCAGAGGCGAUGAAAGACGUAGUAACUUGCGAUAAGCCCAGAUUAGGUAGUAACAACCAUUUGAGUCUGGGAUUUCUGAAUGGGGAAACCCACGUGCAUAAGCACGUAUCCUUACCUGAAUACAUAGGGUAAGGAGGCGAACCGGGGGAACUGAAACAUCUAAGUACCCCGAGGAAAAGAAAUCAACCGAGAUUCCGAAAGUAGCGGCGAGCGAAAUUGGACUAGCCCUUAAGCUUUACACGCGUUAGACGAACGGUCUGGAAAGUCCGACGAUACAGGGUGAUAGUCCCGUAGUUGACGACGUGUGUUCAGUGAAAUCGAGUAGGGCGGGACACGUGAUAUCCUGUCUGAAUAUGGGGGGACCAUCCUCCAAGGCUAAAUACUACUGACUGACCGAUAGUGAACCAGUACCGUGAGGGAAAGGCGAAAAGAACCCCUGUGAGGGGAGUGAAAUAGAACCUGAAACCGUGUACGUACAAGCAGUAGGAGCACCUUCGUGGUGUGACUGCGUACCUUUUGUAUAAUGGGUCAGCGACUUAUAUUCAGUGGCAAGGUUAACCAUCUAGGGGAGCCGUAGGGAAACCGAGUCUUAACUGGGCGUUCAGUCUCUGGAUAUAGACCCGAAACCAGGUGAUCUAGCCAUGGGCAGGUUGAAGGUUGAGUAACAUCAACUGGAGGACCGAACCGACUAAUGUUGAAAAAUUAGCGGAUGACUUGUGGCUAGGGGUGAAAGGCCAAUCAAACCUGGAGAUAGCUGGUUCUCCCCGAAAGCUAUUUAGGUAGCGCCUCGGACGAAUACUACUGGGGGUAGAGCACUGUUAAGGCUAGGGGGUCAUCCCGACUUACCAACCCUUUGCAAACUCCGAAUACCAGUAAGUACUAUCCGGGAGACACACGGCGGGUGCUAACGUCCGUCGUGGAGAGGGAAACAACCCAGACCGCCAGCUAAGGUCCCAAAUUACUACUAAGUGGGAAACGAUGUGGGAAGGCUCAGACAGCCAGGAUGUUGGCUUAGAAGCAGCCAUCAUUUAAAGAAAGCGUAAUAGCUCACUGGUCGAGUCGGCCUGCGCGGAAGAUGUAACGGGGCUAAGUAGUAAACCGAAGCUGCGGCAAUAUACUUUUGUAUAUUGGGUAGGGGAGCGUUCUGUAAGCGGUUGAAGGUGUGUGGUAACGCAUGCUGGACGUAUCAGAAGUGCGAAUGCUGACAUGAGUAACGAUAAAGGGGGUGAAAAACCUCCUCGCCGGAAGACCAAGGGUUCCUGUCCAACGUUAAUCGGGGCAGGGUAAGUCGACCCCUAAGGCGAGGCCGAAAGGCGUAGUCGAUGGGAAACGGGUUAAUAUUCCCGUACUUCUUACAAUUGCGAUGGGGGGACGGAGAAGGCUAGGUGGGCCUGGCGACGGUUGUCCAGGUUCAAGUGCGUAGGCUU